This 789-nucleotide long non-coding RNA is filed under the name Equus caballus (horse). RNAcentral describes it as "lncRNA (ENSECAG00000055386.1)". The record is from RNAcentral. Lineage: Eukaryota; Metazoa; Chordata; Mammalia; Perissodactyla; Equidae.
UAGAGAUCUCACCUUUUAAAAAGCAUUUUAGUUUUCAGAAGUGGAUUAAUCCACGUCGAGACUGUCACCCUAAAUGUGAACCAGAGGAAGAGCCAUCACAAGGAAAUCUUUGCCUCCCCUGCAUGCAGUUUGACAGUUUCUAUUAAUCAAGUGGCCAAAGCCAGACCACUGAGACUUUGUCUCCAGGCUAAACAGCUUGAAGAGGAAGCACCAGGAUUCAAAUUCAGGUCUUCCGGCUCCAAAGGACACACUCGUAAUUACUGCAUUGGACUCCCUUUCUACUAUCAGGAUUCUUUUCAUUGCAAAUGGUCGAAAUCUGGGUCUUAAGGGGACCGCCUUUGGAGCCCCAAACGGGUGAGAAGUCCUGCUGGCCUGUGACGGCCACACUGUGGGGAAGCCCAGCCACACGAGGAGGGCACAGGUGACAACAGUGACAGCCUCAGCCAAGGUCCCAGUCGACAGCCAGCAGCAAGCACCAGACUGAAUGGAGAUAAUUCCAGAUGAUUUCAGCCCCCAGCUCUCGAGACACUCCCAGCUGUCGAUCGUUUCUAGUUGAGGCAUCAGACAUGGGGGAGCAGAGACGAACUCUCCUGCUCUGAUCCGUCUGAAUUCCUGACCCACAAACCAGUGAAAUAAUAAAACAGUUAUUUUAAGCCCUCACAUCUUGGAAUAAUUUGUUAUGUGCAAUAGCAAGUGGACACCGGGCUUCUAUCAGCCACGCAGCCCUGCCUGAAAGAAGGCUGCUCUCCUUCCCAGUUGUUCUGGGGCAGGGCAGUCAUUGGACCAGGC